RNAcentral lists this transfer RNA (68 nucleotides) under Anobiinae sp. BMNH 1274383. RNAcentral describes it as "Anobiidae sp. BMNH 1274383 tRNA-Leu". Lineage: Eukaryota; Metazoa; Arthropoda; Insecta; Coleoptera; Ptinidae. The record is from RNAcentral.
AUUACUUUGGUAGAAUAGUACAUUAAAUUUAGAAUUUAAUUAAAUAAUAUAAUAUAUUAUAGGUAAUA